Small nuclear RNA from Monodelphis domestica (gray short-tailed opossum), 89 nucleotides. The record is from Ensembl. NCBI's taxonomy places the organism in Eukaryota, Metazoa, Chordata, Mammalia, Didelphimorphia, Didelphidae.
CAAAGGUGGAAGAGAUCCUAAUGGCCUUUACAACACAUAUAUAGUUAAGGCAUUGCCACCUACUUUUUGCCAUCUAACUAUGCAUUUGG